This 252-nucleotide long non-coding RNA is filed under the name Prunus dulcis (almond). RNAcentral's name for it is "sRNA ncRNA". The record is from RNAcentral. Lineage: Eukaryota; Viridiplantae; Streptophyta; Magnoliopsida; Rosales; Rosaceae.
AUGGCCAGAGAAAUCAAGCUCCAGCGUUUCCUCGUUCCCCUACUUGUUCUGAGCUUCGUUUUGCUAGCUGCUGCCAUAGAAGCCCGUCCUCUUUCACAUCAUUAUAAGAAUCAUCACCACCACGGCCACCAGCUCCACCACAACCCGAGGGAGGCCGGUCCGAGCCCGGGAGGGGUUGGCCAUUACUUCGGUGAUGUUCUUGCCCUUUGGGGAGUCAAGAAUUCUGGUCCAAGCCCCGGUGAAGGCCACUAA